RNAcentral lists this ribosomal RNA (401 nucleotides) under uncultured Streptococcus sp. Its description in RNAcentral is "bacterial SSU rRNA". It matches the Rfam family "Bacterial small subunit ribosomal RNA", at positions 980 to 1382 of the family's 1533-position model. Lineage: Bacteria; Bacillati; Bacillota; Bacilli; Lactobacillales; Streptococcaceae. The record is from RNAcentral.
CUUGACAUCCCGAUGCUAUUUCUAGAGAUGAAAGUUACUUCGGUACAUCGGUGACAGGUGGUGCAUGGUUGUCGUCAGCUCGUGUCGUGAGAUGUUGGGUUAAGUCCCGCAACGAGCGCAACCCCUAUUGUUAGUUGCCAUCAUUCAGUUGGGCACUCUAGCGAGACUGCCGGUAAUAAACCGGAGGAAGGUGGGGAUGACGUCAAAUCAUCAUGCCCCUUAUGACCUUGGGCUACACACGUGCUACAAUGGUUGGUACAACGAGUUGCGAGUCGGUGACGGCGAGCUAAUCUCUUAAAGCCAAUCUCAGUUCGGAUUGUAGGCUGCAACUCGCCUACAUGAAGUCGGAAUCGCUAGUAAUCGCGGAUCAGCACGCCGCGGUGAAUACGUUCCCGGGCCUU